Molecule: ribosomal RNA, 429 nt
Filed under: Chloroflexota bacterium
Lineage: Bacteria; Bacillati; Chloroflexota
Description: Chloroflexi bacterium partial 16S ribosomal RNA
Rfam family: Bacterial small subunit ribosomal RNA
Source: RNAcentral
UAGGGAAUCUUCGGCAAUGGACGAAAGUCUGACCGAGCAACGCCGCGUGAGUGAAGAAGGUUUUCGGAUCGUAAAACUCUGUUGUUAGAGAAGAACAAGGACGUUAGUAACUGAACGUCCCCUGACGGUAUCUAACCAGAAAGCCACGGCUAACUACGUGCCAGCUGCCGCGGUAAUACGUAGGUGGCAAGCGUUGUCCGGAUUUAUUGGGCGUAAAGCGAGCGCAGGCGGUUUCUUAAUUCUGAUGUGAAAGCCCCCGGCUCAACCGGGGAGGGUCAUUGGAAACUGGGAGACUUGAGUGCAGAAGAGGAGAGUGGAAUUCCAUGUGUAGCGGUGAAAUGCGUAGAUAUAAGGAAGAACACCAGUGGCGAAGGCGGCUCUCUGGUCUGUAACUGACGCUGAGGCUCGAAAGCGUGGGGAGCAAACAGG